CACACCAUUUGAUUUGAUAUAUCAAAAUGAUUAAGGCGCUUAGGAUUAACCCACUCAUGCCAUGAAAAGCCUACCUCCACGAUUAACCCCUAGUAAACCCCCUUGAGCCCAACAAACCAAUUCUUGUAUUACCUUUAAUAUUAACCUUUAACCCAUUAUUGUUGAAAUCCUCUAAAUUAAUCCCCAUUUUUGUUUAGAUUUGAGUUGAAUGGAUUGCCU
Molecule: long non-coding RNA, 219 nt
Filed under: Gossypium barbadense (sea-island cotton)
Lineage: Eukaryota; Viridiplantae; Streptophyta; Magnoliopsida; Malvales; Malvaceae
Description: long non-coding RNA (GBAR_LNC011568)
Source: RNAcentral